This 347-nucleotide unclassified non-coding RNA is filed under the name soil metagenome. RNAcentral describes it as "partial contains 5.8S ribosomal RNA, internal transcribed spacer 2, and large subunit ribosomal RNA". The stretch from base 1 to 120 matches the Rfam family "5.8S ribosomal RNA", at positions 35 to 154 of the family's 154-position model. The record is from RNAcentral.
GAUGAAGAACGUAGCGAAAUGCGAUACUUGGUGUGAAUUGCAGAAUCCCGUGAACCAUCGAGUCUUUGAACGCACAUUGCGCCCCCUGGUAUUCCGGGGGGCAUGCCUGUCCGAGCGUCAUUGCUGCCCUCAAGCACGGCUUGUGUGUUGGGCUUCCGUCCCUGGCAACGGGGACGGGCCCAAAAGGCAGUGGCGGCACCAUGUCUGGUCCUCGAGCGUAUGGGGCUUUGUCACCCGCUCCCGUAGGUCCAGCUGGCAGCUAGCCUCGCAACCAAUCUUUUUAACCAGGUUGACCUCGGAUCAGGUAGGGAUACCCGCUGAACUUAAGCAUAUCGAUAAGCGGAGGA